UAGGGAAUAUUGGUCAAUGGAUGAAAGUCUGAACCAGCCAUGCCGCGUGCAGGAAGAAGGCGUUAUGCGUUGUAAACUGCUUUUGCCAGGGGAUAAAAUGACCGUGCGCGGUUAAUUGAAGGUACCUGGUGAAUAAGCCACGGCUAACUACGUGCCAGCAGCCGCGGUAAUACGUAGGUGGCAAGCGUUGUCCGGAUUUAUUGGGUUUAAAGGGUGCGUAGGUGGCCCUGUAAGUCAGUGGUGAAAUAUCUCAGCUUAACUGAGAGGGUGCCAUUGAUACUGCAGGGCUUGAGUACAGAUGAGGUAGGCGGAAUUGACGGUGUAGCGGUGAAAUGCAUAGAUAUCGUCAAGAACACCGAUAGCGAAGGCAGCUUACCAAGCUGUAACUGACACUGAGGCACGAAAGUGUGGGGAUCAAACAGGAUUAGAUACCCCGGUAGUCCCUGAGCGGGCUGGCAAGGCGCAU
Molecule: ribosomal RNA, 466 nt
Filed under: uncultured bacterium
Lineage: Bacteria
Description: bacterial SSU rRNA
Rfam family: Bacterial small subunit ribosomal RNA
Source: RNAcentral